GUGCUCGCUUCAGCAGCACAUAUGCUAAAAUUGGAAUGAUACAGUGAAGAUUAGUAUGGCCCCUUGCAAGGAUGACACGCAAAUUUGUGAAGCGUUCCAUAUUUUU
Molecule: small nuclear RNA, 106 nt
Organism: Fukomys damarensis (Damara mole-rat)
Lineage: Eukaryota; Metazoa; Chordata; Mammalia; Rodentia; Bathyergidae
Source: Ensembl